RNAcentral lists this long non-coding RNA (3825 nucleotides) under Mus musculus (house mouse). RNAcentral's name for it is "long non-coding RNA chr3:27183703-27187528". The record is from RNAcentral. Lineage: Eukaryota; Metazoa; Chordata; Mammalia; Rodentia; Muridae.
ACUGGCUUGCAAAGGAGGAGUUAAUUUUUUUUUUUUUUGCUAAGGGGAUUGUGAUUCACCGGUGAGCAGAAGCGGGCACAGGCAGUCUCCUAACGUCCCCAGGCCUUAGCGCUCCUUCUGGGGAUCGCAGGCUAGGAGGAACCGCUCUGACCUUCGGUUCUCUCCCUGGCAUUUCUCAGCUCAGCGGAAGAAAAGAAGGCCGGGAGACUAGCAAUCCCGGAGGGCUGUAACGGUCCCUGUUUGAAGGCUGUUUUCUUGUGGCAUUUGUUUUGCGUCCUUCGAUGUCUGGGAGAUAACCUUGGCCUGAGCCGGAGCGGUGUGGCCUUCUUUUAACCUGCAGGGUGGCAUUUCUCUGCACUGUAUCCUGCUCCUGCACAUUGCUCCCCCGUGGGGAGGACAGUGUCAUUGGUUUAUUCCAUGAUAGGAGGAUUGCUUUUAGUAUCAGAAGCGCAGUCUGCAGCUAAGGCUGAACGCCAUGACUGCAUCGUAUUUUUGAGUAGUCAGAGAUAUGCAGGUUCCCAGCGCUUCUCCACAAUCAAGCCACCCUCCACCUCUGCCCAACACUGAGCCUUAAUACUGUUUGUUUUGUUUUUUCAAGACAAAGUUUCUUUAUAACCCUGGCUAUACUGGAACUUGCUCUGUAGACCAGGCUAGCCUCUAACUUGACUGCAGCUGCCCCAGGAACUCUGAGAGGCAUGUGCUGCUACCUACCUGCUCUUUUUUUUUUUCUCCUUCUUUUUAAUAAGAUAUAUGAACACGCAUUAAAUUUUUAAAAUCAAUUUUUAUGUAUGGGUGUUUUGCACACGUGUAUCUCAGUGUACCACGUGGGUGGAGUGCCCACAGAGACCAGAAGGGGAUAUUGGGACUGUAGUUAAAGGGGUUGUAAGCCUCUGUGUGGGUGCUGGGAAUGAACCCAGGGCCAGUGCUCUUAACCCAUAAGCUCCAGCUGGUCUCUCUCUCUCUCUUUGUUUUGUAGACAGAGUCUCAGUGUGUAGUUCUACCUGGACUCUGUGUGUAGCACAGACUAGUCUUGAACUUUUGAUCCUGCCUCUACCUCCCAAGUGCUGGAAUCCACUACGUGGGUCAAGCUGGCAGAUCUUCGUGCUGACAUUACGGACCUGUCUGCACUGUGUUUCUGUCUGCACUCUGUGUGUGUGUGUUGGGGGAUGUUGUCUUGUAGCUGAGGCUGGGUAUGAGCUUCUAUGCAGCCCUUGAACUAUAUCCCUUGUGUUCAGAUUAUAGGUUGUUUUGUUUUGUUUUUCUCUUAAUUUUGGUUUUCAGAAUCAAGACCUUGCUACCUGUCUCAAGCAAGCUGGCCUCAAACUCGGCUCUGUUGUUCAUGCUGAUCUUCGGGUCAUCAUUUUCCUGCCUGACUGUCCUUGGAGUUUAUUUAAAGGCACCUCCCAGAGAGAUCCACCAUAGUUUGUGAGACACCAUGUAGGCUUUAACAAAAUGUGGAGCAGUGGUCUGGUCUCUUCUCUCACGCAACUGAGAAAGCCAGUCUUUCCUAGGAAGUCCUCAUGAAGUUGAGUUCAUGCACACUUGACAGAUUCUGGAGACCAGGGUUGCAGACGAUACUGGGCUGGGCUGGGCUGGCCAUCUUUAAUAGGUUAGCUUAAGGAAAGAACAGUGCUGUGCUGGUGUGGGGAUACUUUGUCCAUUCGUGUUUCAGGUCACCGAAGAACUCUUCCGUAUCAUAGCCAUUUAGGAAAGUCCAGGUUUAGAGGAAAGUGUUUCUUCUCCAACAUGCCUUCCAAACCUCCAGGGCCACUCUGUGCUGGGCUCCUAUGGUGGGCCCUCCAACAUGCCAGGAACUUGUGGGGAGGGGAUGCCAGGCAGUCCCAGGGACUGAUGAAGUAAUAUGUGUCUCCCCCCCCCACACACACACCUCCUCAUGCUGUCGUGGGAGUAGGUCUUCAGAGAGUGGCUCUGGUCACCUCCUUGCUAAACUGAGCAUAUUGACAAGACCAUUCAGAGCAGAAGAAAGGAUAGUCUGUGUGGAAAGCCGUUUUCCCCCAAACAGAGACUAGACUCAGGGUUCUGUGCAUGCUGGGCAGAUAGUGGACAUUGAGCUACAUUCUCACAUUGGCCCAGUUAUGUCCGUGGGUCUUCCCUCUCCCUACGCCCCGUACCCCCAGGGUCUCAGCACGUAGGUCUGUCUGUCUGGCCUAGAGCUUUCUAUGUACACCAGGCUGGCCUCGAAGCCACAGAGAUCCACCAUGGAUUGUGAGGGAAAUCUGUAGGAUUGUUCCAAUUUUGCUCAAACCAUAAGAUGAGCUGAUUUAUAGCUUUAGAACCUAGAGAGCCACCAUGAAGUUGGCAUAGGCUUGUUUGCCAAAUAAUUUUGGUUUAGAUCACUUGGCUCAAUUUUAAAAAGCAAUAGAAGUUAUUUAAGAGACUACGCCUGGCCUUCUUUCUCAUGUCAGGAAAUUUGAGUGCUGCAUGCCCUGGUGGCUCACACAUCUCUAGCACUCAGGAGGCAAAGGCAGGCAGCUCUCUGUGGGCUCAAGACCAGCCUGGUCUACAUAGUGACCAUAGUGAAUUUCAGGGUAACUAGGGCUACAUAUUGAGGCCCUGUCUACAAAUAAUUAAUUACUUGAGUGCUUCCCUGUUCUGUUACCACAGGCCUACAGCGUCUCACAUUUUCUUUUGCCUUGUGCCUGGGUCAGCUUAUUCUGAUUAUGUUUAUUGUGCUUUCCUUCCUGGAGGAUCCUAGAAACUGCUCAGGUCUCUUGCUUUCUUUUGGUUUUUUGUUUUUUGUUUUGUUUUGUUGUUGUUUUUUGUUUGAGAAAGUGCUUCUUGUAGUAGGAGCUAGCCUUGAACCCCUUAUCCUCCUGUCUUCAGCUCCCCAGUGCUAGAGCUGCCUAAAAACUCCCCCUGCCUGGGUCAUCCUCCUUCCCACAUUUACUUGGAAUUCUGGGUGUUUUGAGCAGUUAUUUUCCUGUGGCUGUAGGUCCAGGCUUUCACCCCUGCUAGGCAAGCACUGAGCCACUGAGCUGCAUUUCCUGCAACGUAAGUGUCUUUUUUAAAAGUCCCCCAGGUGAUUUCAGUUGUAGCAAAAGAACCUUGGUUGUUCCUGCACUCAUAAGGUGGGUGCUUCAAGUUCAAGGCCAACCUGUGGUAUAUACUGAUACUGUCUAUCAAAAAAAUGAACGAAAUUCCUUCAAAUUGUAUUAUCAUGUAAAUAAGACACAAUACCGUAGUGGAUACAUUUAUUUAGGAUAUUAUUGGAUAUAGCAAUGAUAAUUAAAUUUUUCUUAAUCUAUCCAGGUAAUCCAGCACGUAUGGCUAGGUUACAAGAUUAGUUGGGUGAGCUUCAAGGUCUAAGACAGUGGUUCUCACCCUGUGGGUUGGGGUCACACAUAUCAGAUAUCAUGCAUAUCAGAUAUUUACAUUGUAAUUCAUAACAGUAGCAAAAUUGCAGUUAUGAAGUAGCAAUGGAAUAAUUUUAUGGCCUGAGGUCACCACAACAUGAGGAACUGUAUUAAAGGGUCAUAGCAUUGGGAAGGCUGAGAAUCACUGGUCUUAAGGGAGUAAGAUGCUAAUGAGGUACAUUUCAGUGUGACAGCAGAGCUUUCAGACCUCACAGCCGCACCACCGUGGCAGGGGUCAUGUCUAAGAGCCUCUUUGAAAAUGUUCUAUGAGUGAGCUGGGGUUGUUGCUCACUUGGUAGAGAGUUGGCCAAGCAUGAUCGAGGUUCUGGUUCAAUCCUGAGCUCUACCUAAACCAGGUUUGGCAGUACAUACCAGUAAUCCCAGCAUUCAAGAGGCAGAGACAUCUUCACGUACAAAGCAUAUCUGGGGCUAGCCUGGAAUACGUGUUUUU